GGAGAGUUGUCCGAGUGGUCGAAGGAGCACGCCUGGAAAGUGUGUAUACCCCAAAAGGGUAUCGAGAGUUCGAAUCUCUCACUCUCCGCCA
Molecule: transfer RNA, 91 nt
Filed under: compost metagenome
Description: tRNA-Ser
Rfam family: tRNA
About the family: Transfer RNA (tRNA) molecules are approximately 80 nucleotides in length. Their secondary structure includes four short double-helical elements and three loops (D, anti-codon, and T loops).
Source: RNAcentral